CAAUAUAAAGUUGACCUGA
Molecule: microRNA, 19 nt
Filed under: Ciona intestinalis (vase tunicate)
Lineage: Eukaryota; Metazoa; Chordata; Ascidiacea; Phlebobranchia; Cionidae
Description: cin-miR-4097-5p
Source: miRBase by way of RNAcentral